This is a small nuclear RNA of Pisolithus tinctorius Marx 270, 196 nucleotides long. It matches the Rfam family "U2 spliceosomal RNA". Rfam says of the family: U2 is a small nuclear RNA (snRNA) component of the spliceosome (involved in pre-mRNA splicing). Complementary binding between U2 snRNA (in an area lying towards the 5' end but 3' to hairpin I) and the branchpoint sequence (BPS) of the intron results the bulging out of an unpaired adenosine, on the BPS, which initiates a nucleophilic attack at the intronic 5' splice site, thus starting the first of two transesterification reactions that mediate splicing. The record is from Rfam. NCBI's taxonomy places the organism in Eukaryota, Fungi, Basidiomycota, Agaricomycetes, Boletales, Pisolithaceae.
UUACCACUCUGGCCUUUUGGCUUAGAUCAAGUGUAGUAUCUGUUCUUUACAGCAUAACCGCUGUAACGGGGGCACUGCCCCCUUUAGUUGGUUAGCAAAUUUUUGCCGCCCUAUGUCGCCUGUGAGCUCUGCUUGCAACUCCGGGUGACGCGAUGACCUUGCUAUUGCACCUUACCGGCUUGCGUCGUCAGGGGAU